AACGGUCUAUACCUGCGGUACCUGCGGAAGGAUCAUUACUGAGUGAGGGCCCUCUGGGUCCAACCUCCCACCCGUGUUUAACGAACCUUGUUGCUUCGGCGGGCCCGCCUCACGGCCGCCGGGGGGCAUCCGCCCCCGGGCCCGCGCCCGCCGAAGACACCUGUGAACUCUGUCUGAAGUUGCAGUCUGAGAAACUAUUUAAAUUAGUUAAAACUUUCAGCAACGGAUCUCUAGAUCGGA
RNAcentral lists this unclassified non-coding RNA (240 nucleotides) under soil metagenome. RNAcentral describes it as "partial contains 5.8S ribosomal RNA, internal transcribed spacer 2, and large subunit ribosomal RNA". The record is from RNAcentral.